UAAUCUGUAGUCAAGCUACAGUGUCUUGUCUGUUAACUGAUGUGGGAUCAAAUGUGAGCAUAAAAUGUGAUCUUGAUGAAAAUGAAGUUUACUGGAUUUUACUCAAAACUCCAGAUCCUCCAACAGUGAUUCUACGAUCACUCUCAACACCAACACCACCUUUUUACUCAAAUAAAUCAUUCAGAAGUAAAUAUUCAGUGCAAUUUAAACAUCGUCUGGUUAUUAAUAACAUCACUGCUAAUGAAUUAGGAGUUUAUUACUGUACCACAGGCACACAGCCAAAAUUCAGCAACAGCACCAGAUUAUACAUCAUCGAACCAACUCAAUCAAGUGAGUUUCACAAUAACACAGAGUGUGAGCAGAAUUCUAAUUGUACUGAGCAGAAUCAGACAAAUUGGCAGACAUUUUUCUUUAUAUCCAGUGUAAUGAAUGGGUUUCUAGUUCUGGUGGUGGUCGGUGAGUUUUUUAUUUAUUUUUUUUAUUUAGACUAUCAUUGUUAUUUUGCCAUUAUUGGGACAUGCAUAUUAGAAUAAAUAUACAAUAAUAAAUCUGAAUUCACUGUUUCAUUUUCAGGACUAAUAAAGUGUUUUGUUGUUGGAAACAGAAGUUCAGCAGAGCAAUCACAAUUCAGGACUGAUCUACCACAGACACAAGUAAUAGAACAACAACAGGACCCAGAUCAAUUACAGUAUGCCACAAUGGACUUUUCCAAGUUUCAUAAAAAAAUGCGCUCCAGCCAACUCAACACCACCUACGCUGCUCUAAACCUGCCAAAAUCAUAAAUGCAAAAGUAGGACUGAUCUCAUGUUAUUUGUUCACUUUCUCUUGAUGUACAUCUCUGACUUUUCUAACCACAAACUUUUUGGCAGCUAAACACUCCAAACAUUAACAAGUCAAACAUUAUUUAGAUAAUAAAAUAAAUUAGUUUAUAUUAAUUUAAUUAAUAUAAGAUUGGGUUGUUAUUUCAUUUUGCUGUCUGAAAACCAGUUGAAAAUCCCCAUUGUAAUUAGUUAUGUAAGUUUAUAAAUGUAACAGUGGAAUAAACAGAAAAAGGUUUUUACCUACAAUUUGGGGUCUGUGGCAUUGUAAAAAAAUCCCAUGCUCAAGCACGUUUUGUUUACAAGUUUCGUUUUUAAGUUAUAGUUCUCAUUUUUUCUUACUGUGUUUUUAAAAAAAAUAUGCUAUUGUCAGCUAUUGUUAAUUGAUUAAAGAAAUUGUUGAUAUUUCCUUUUAACCAUUUUAUUUUAUCUUGAUAAAAAAUAAUUUCAUAUAAUUGAAAAUUUGCGUAUGAAUCUUCGGACUGAAUACUUUUCGGUCUGUAUUCUACUCAGUGCUGUUACACUGAGAUAAUUAUAUAUUUUAUUUCUUUACAUGUAAGAUUGUGUUUAUGUAAUGCUUUUAGAAAUUAAACUGUAGAUGCAUUGGUUAAAUGACCAUACUGUAAUUUUUUAGUCUGCAAAAUGUUUAAUAGUUUGUUUAAUGAUUUAGUCUUUUGUUGUUGUUGUUGUUUAG
Molecule: non-coding RNA, 1512 nt
Organism: Danio rerio (zebrafish)
Lineage: Eukaryota; Metazoa; Chordata; Actinopteri; Cypriniformes; Danionidae
Source: RefSeq, a predicted model, not a curated record